RNAcentral lists this transfer RNA (77 nucleotides) under Heliconius melpomene (postman butterfly). Its description in RNAcentral is "tRNA HMEL015293". Lineage: Eukaryota; Metazoa; Arthropoda; Insecta; Lepidoptera; Nymphalidae. The record is from RNAcentral.
UUUUAUUUAAAUUUAGUGGUAUAAGCUUGUGACUGUAAACGCGACGGUUGUGCGUUCGAUUCCCACUCCAAUAAAUG